AGGAUCUGAAAUGUGCGGUUCGCGGUAAACACAAAUUCUUUGCUGGUGUGGUGUUAAGGCUAGGCUAGGCCUACGUUGUCUACAUUUUUGGUAAUGUUAUGGCCCUUUCAACUCAGGAAAGCGAAGAGGACAGCCAAUACAUUUUGAUUGCCACGAUAGACAAUGCAAAAAACAUAUCAAAUGUGCUAAAGGCAAUAUUAUCUAAGGAUAAGGAGUUGGCAACCAUAUUUGCAACUGAGAAUGGUCUAAAAGUGACAGUGGAGGAUUCCAAGUGUGUACAGGCUAAUGCUUUCCUGCAGGCAGCCAUCUUCCAAAGCUAUGUUAUCAGGGAGGAUUCUGUUACAUUCAAAAUUAGUCUAUCUGUUUUACAGGAGUGUUUGACAAUAUUUGGUGGCGGUUCAUCUCAAGGUGGUAACCCAGCUCUUAAGAUCUGUUAUGCUGGCUACGGAAGUCCACUUCUACUCAUGUUAGAAGAAAAUGGUGUUUUGACGGAUUGUAGUAUUAAGACAUUAGAGCCGGAUGAGACGUUGGAUUUCAAUUUUACAAGUGCAAAUGUUAUCAACAAAAUCAUAAUGAAGUCAGAUUGUUUAAAAGAAGCUUUCCAAGAACUCGACAUGACUAGUGAAGUAUUGGAAAUUCUAAUGUCCCCUGACAAGCCUCACUUUCGAAUGAGCACCUACGGCUUAGCAGGAAGUGCCUUUUCUGAUUUCCCAAGGGAGAGUGAUCUGGUUGAAUCUUUCCAGUGCACUCAAACUCAGAGUAAUAGGUACAAGUUGUCAUUACUGAAGCCGUCUGUAAAAGCACUGAUGGUGUCUUGUAAAGUGUCUAUUCGAACCGACCACCGUGGCUUUCUGUCCCUUCAAUACAUGAUCCGAAAUGAAGAUGGACAAAUCUCAUUUGUUGAAUACUACUGUGCUCCUGAUGAAGAAAGUGCUGAAAAUGACUGAGAUCCAUACAGACAACUGUGGGAAAUGCAUUCUGUAGAGGUACGCCAAGCCGACUCACCCCCAGGCUCUUUACAAGCAGAUAUGAAGCAAGAUAUCAGAACAUCCUGCAUGGCCGUCGAGCGAUGCUUCGUCUUUGCCUUGGUUCUGACCCCUUUGUCGGACUUGUUGGCAAAUUUCUGGUGCCACCGUUGAUUGCUUUAUAAACAAGCCUCAUGAGGCGUUGAAAGUGAAAUUUUUUUGUUUGUGAGAAAAAUUCUGGCGUCCAAGAGGAAUUAAACCCAAACUCCCUGGUAUUGGAAGACAAGUAUCUGAACCAUCAAGAUACAAUGAUUGACUUUGAACUGACCGAUGAAAAAAUUAUGAUAAAAGAGCUAGUCACAUUAGUACAUGGUGGAGUAGUCAAUGACCUGUGGUCAAAUAUUUUAACGGGUGCCAUGUUCUGUAAAAUGUUGUUGACUAGGAUAUGGCACAUUUGAUUAAGGGUACAAAAGGUUAUUAUAUCACUUUAACCUCUUGUUAUUGUCAGAGAUCUUUUUUUUUUUAUUCUACAUUUCUCCGCAUUUCUCGUUUAUGUUAGCUGUUAUUAUGUUAUGUUUGCUAAGUUUAUGUCAGCUUCAACGAACAUUUGGCUUGGUCCGGAAUAGUCGCAAUAAGCUUUUCAAUGUGCUUUUUACAUUAUUGAUCAUAUCAUCAUAACCAACUGUCAUUUCUCAAUCAUAUUAAGUGUGCAUAAACUUCAGGUCAAGGUAGAAUAUCACGAACCAAAAUCAGUGGUGUAACGCCUAUGCGCUCUCAUGCGGCAGUCCGCAGGGCUCCCGAAUUCUACGGGGGCCCUACCCAAUAGGUUCCUCGAUCUAGCACCCUGACCAAAAAGGACUUUGUUGAUAAAAAAAAAACCAUAAAUACUCUGAAAUCGACUGUAGUGCAUAUAUCAUAUUAUAAUGAUUAAAGAGAAGGGGCCC
Anneissia japonica is the source of this 1909-nucleotide RNA transcript. It is a transcript of the gene named cell cycle checkpoint protein RAD1-like, with no coding region annotated. Lineage: Eukaryota; Metazoa; Echinodermata; Crinoidea; Comatulida; Comatulidae. The transcript is spliced from 9 exons. The record is from RefSeq and is a predicted model, not a curated record.